AUUAGAUACCCGGGUAGUCCUAGCCGUAAACGAUACUCGCUAGGUGUCGGCCACGGUGCGACCGUUGUCGGUGCCGUAGGGAAGCCGUGAAGCGAGCCACCUGGGAAGUACGGCCGCAAGGCUGAAACUUAAAGGAAUUGGCGGGGGAGCACCACUACGGGUGGAGCUUGCGGUUUAAUUGGAUUCAACGCCGGAAAUCUUACCGGGACCGACAGCAAUAUGAAGGCCAGGCUGAAGACUUUGCCGGAUUAGCUGAGAGGUGGUGCAUGGC
Molecule: ribosomal RNA, 271 nt
Filed under: uncultured archaeon
Lineage: Archaea
Description: partial 16S ribosomal RNA
Rfam family: Archaeal small subunit ribosomal RNA
Source: RNAcentral